AACGAACGCUGGCGGCAUGCCUAACACAUGCAAGUCGAACGAGACCUUCGGGUCUAUUGGCGCACGGGAGCGUAACGCGUGGGAACCUGCCCUUAGGUUCGGAAUAACUCCCCGAAAGGGGUGCUAAUACCGGAUAAUGUCUUCUGACCCAUGAUUUAUCGCCUCUGGAUGGGCCCGCGUUGGAGUAGCUAUUUGGUAGGGUAAAAGCCUACCAAGGCGACGAUCCAUAGCUGGUCUGAGAGGAUGAUCAGCCACACUGGGACUGAGACACGGCCCAGACUCCUACGGGAGGCAGCAGUGGGGAAUAUUGGACAAUGGGCGAGAGCCUGAUCCAGCAAUGCCGCGUGAGUGAUGAAGGCCUUAGGGUUGUAAAGCUCUUUUACCCGGGAUGAUAAUGACAGUACCGGGAGAAUAAGCGCCGGCUAACUCCGUG
This 433-nucleotide ribosomal RNA is filed under the name uncultured bacterium. RNAcentral describes it as "partial 16S ribosomal RNA". It matches the Rfam family "Bacterial small subunit ribosomal RNA", at positions 29 to 507 of the family's 1533-position model. The record is from RNAcentral.